This 433-nucleotide ribosomal RNA is filed under the name uncultured bacterium. Its description in RNAcentral is "partial 16S ribosomal RNA". It matches the Rfam family "Bacterial small subunit ribosomal RNA", at positions 29 to 507 of the family's 1533-position model. The record is from RNAcentral.
AACGAACGCUGGCUGCAUGCCUAACACAUGCAAGUCGAACGAGACCUGCGUCUAUAGUGGCGUUCUGGUGCGUGACGCCCGGGAACCUGCCGUGUAAUUCGUAAUCACUCCGCGCAAGGCGUGCUAAUAACGUUUAGUGUCUUCGGCCCAAAGACUAAUCGCCUUUGGAUGGGCACGCGAUGGAUUAGCUAGUUGGUAGGGUAAAAGCCUACGAAGCGGACGAUCCAUAGCUGGUCUGAGAGGAUGAUCAGCCACACUGGGACUGAGACACGUAGCAGACUCCUACGGGAGGCAGCAGUGGGGAAUAUUAGACAAUGGGCGAGAGUCUAAUCCAGCAAUGCCGUGUGAGGGAAGCAGGCCUUAGGGUUGUAAAGAUCUGUUACCCGGGAUGAUAAUGACAGUACCGGGAGAAUAAGCUCCGGCUAACUCCGUG